AGUUCAACUCGCCGUUGAAGGCCGGUAGAGAAGACGCUUCAAAGAGAAACGAGAAGGCGCCGGCCUAGCGUUUCUCCGGCCUCCGGCAAUGGCUUCCUGCUUGAUUUCCAUCCCUAGGCCAGCUCAUGGAGAUGAUGCACAGUCUCAAGGCUAUCGUUGACGAGAACAUGCAGGCUGGCAGGGAGAUGCUCCGCGCCAAUCUUGAUUUGAUGUGAUCUCUCUUUAGGGCAGAAUUGUUGCUGCGGAUGCUUCUAUGGAUGAUGACGUGGAUGAUAUUUUUGAUGAUCAAGCUAAAGCUACUUAUUCUCGGGAACUGCUGCAGCCACAUUUGAGCCCACCACCAAGCCCAGCUUGCUCGCUGAGUUUUCCACCUCAGGGUGGGAAUCAUCUAGGAGAGCCAUCUUCACCGUCUGAGGAUGAAGAAACUCCACCACCUAGCCAGACACCACCCAACAGCACUAGAGGAGAUAAGAAGUGAAGUCUUUUGCCUGUGAGGGACUACAUCUGCAUCCUUCUGAAGAAGCUGCAACUGAUGUGGACCCCCAAUGUUGUUCUUGUCCCGGUCGUUAAAUAAUGAACUAAGACUUAUUUCGUUUCGUUUAUGUUAUAUGGAUGGUGUGAUACCGACAAUGCUAUGCGCGCUUUCUGAAAUGACUAUGACAUUUCUUUUAGAUCGUGCAUCUUAUUUAUUAAAUGUUUUUUGUU
Long non-coding RNA from Dioscorea cayenensis subsp. rotundata (Guinea yam), 705 nucleotides. RefSeq lists it as uncharacterized. The record is from RefSeq and is a predicted model, not a curated record. The transcript has 5 exons. NCBI's taxonomy places the organism in Eukaryota, Viridiplantae, Streptophyta, Magnoliopsida, Dioscoreales, Dioscoreaceae.